Peromyscus eremicus (cactus mouse) is the source of this 1619-nucleotide long non-coding RNA. RefSeq lists it as uncharacterized. Lineage: Eukaryota; Metazoa; Chordata; Mammalia; Rodentia; Cricetidae. The transcript is spliced from 3 exons. The record is from RefSeq and is a predicted model, not a curated record.
UUAGGGAAAGCUUUCCCUGGAGCAGGGAUGAAAGCUGCUAUGCUUAAGUUCACUUUGUGCUAUUCCUUGGCUCUCAACAGCCAAGAUCCCUUUCCAUCCUGCUGCAACACUUACAAAAACACCUACAUUGCUUUUUUCAUGUAACCCACCACCACAUACCAACAAACGCCUUCCUACUCCAGGUGUUCCAGUCUCCUUUUAGCCCUUUCUCAGAAAAAAGCAUGGCAGAGAAUGCUAGAAGCCCAAAAUUCUGCAGAGACUGUUGCCAGGAGGAAGAAGCUUCAGUAACUGUCACACUCAUUUUACUUGUGGAUGAAGAGAGAAGAUGGCCAGACUCAAUGUCAAACAACCUCAAUACUGUAAGAAUGGAGAAAGAUACAAAGAAUGACCACAUUUCUGAGACCAGAGUGAGAAACACGAUGAGCUCCCAGUCAACAGGGGUUACCCCUCAAGUGAUUGCUACUACCCCCAGCACCAAAUUACAAGCAUCUUCACGAUGAACAGAAGACCACUGCUUCUGGAAGUUCACCAUGAUACUUCCCACCACUCUAAGGAUACAUGGUUCACCCUAGUCCAAGAAUCAAACCCUAACAAAAAGGGAUGAACAGCAGAGAAGGGAGAUGUGAGUCCUGCCUGGACCAACACGGAUUAAGGAAGGCAUCUAGGAGAUGAAACCCAAAUAGAAGAUUCUUGGAGUUCAUCAUCCAAUGUGAUCUCAUUACACUCAGCCCUGUCCUUCAACACACUCACAAUGGAGCCCUUUGAUCUCUUCCUUGGGUCAUGGACUGAUGAUGAUGGCUCAUAAACCAGAUCAACUGAUACAGUUUCUCACCCAAAUUCCCUCCUCGCAUAUGGUUCUCUCCUUCCUGCCCAAGGCUACUGACUGUAUGUACAGUGUAUGCUGAAAGCACACUCACUCCUGGAAGGUGACACCUCACAGAAACCAUAGACACAGCUUAAUCGAUGAUCAUUAUAAAAAGCUCUGCCAAUACCUUGGACUAAAGCUCCUGAAAGGGGGACUUCCAUGUCAGGAUUGCCUUCUUUCACUAGCAUACACCUCAGCCUCCAUGGCUACUGUUGGUCUCCUGGCAUCCUCUCCAACCAAUCCAAUCUGUUAGCUCAGAAUCCGACCUUCCCAUUGGCUGCUGCCUCGUUUAUGACACCAUUCUCCCUCCAACUCAACCUACCAACCCUGGUAGGUUCUUGGGGUUGCCAUGGCAAUGCCUGUAAACAAAUUUGGAUCAUCACAGGUCACCUGUGACCAGUGACCAGUAAGUGCUGUCUGAUACCGGACACACUUGCGACUCAGGUCAGCUGAUCAGACAAGGACAAGCAAAUUCUCUUGCUCCAUUGUACUGUGGACUACUGAUACUCUUCCUCUGACCAUGGCAGGCUUUUUAGCAGCAGUUCAGCUGAGAUCCAUUCCAGUGAGAACUCAGAGACUUUCAGUCUGAGGAAACAAGAUCAACUGUGGAGUUAAUGAGAAAGGACCGACCAAAGCCUAUUUAGAUUCCAGCCAGAAAUGUCCAACAUCACCCCACCAACCAAAAAGAUGGUUAAUCUCUCAUUGGCUGGUCAGGGACAGAGAAGGCUGAAAAAACCCCACCCCUAGUAAACAA